AACACAUGCAAGUCGGACGGCAGCAUGGUUUGUAGCAAUACAAACUGAUGGCGAGUGGCGGACGGGUGAGAAACGCGUAGGAAUCUGCCUUGUAGAGGGGGACAACUAGAGGAAACUCUAGCUAAUACCGCAUAAUGUCGAGAGACCAAAAGCUGGGUGGUAACACCUGGCGCUAUGAGAGGAGCCUGCGUCCGAUUAGCUAGUUGGUGGGGUAAAGGCCUACCAAGGCGAUGAUCGGUAGCUGGUCUGAGAGGAUGAUCAGCCACACUGGGACUGAGACACGGCCCAGACUCCUACGGGAGGCAGCAGUGGGGAAUAUUGGACAAUGGGGGCAACCCUGAUCCAGCAAUACCGCGUGUGUGAAGAAGGCCUUCGGGUUGUAAAGCACUUUAGGUUGGGAAGAAGGCGUAUAGUUUAAGAGCUGUACGUUUGG
RNAcentral lists this ribosomal RNA (433 nucleotides) under grassland soil clone saf3_102. Its description in RNAcentral is "bacterial SSU rRNA". It matches the Rfam family "Bacterial small subunit ribosomal RNA", at positions 50 to 472 of the family's 1533-position model. The record is from RNAcentral.